GCAGUGGGGAAUCCUACGGGAGGCAGCAGUGGGGAAUAUUGGCCGAUGGGCGAAAGCCUGAUCCAGCGAUGCCGCGUGAGUGAUGAAGGCCUUAGGGUUGUAAAGCUCUUUUACCCGGGAUGAUAAUGACAGUACCGGGAGAAUAAGCUCCGGCUAACUCCGUGCCAG
Molecule: ribosomal RNA, 168 nt
Filed under: uncultured Sphingomonas sp.
Lineage: Bacteria; Pseudomonadati; Pseudomonadota; Alphaproteobacteria; Sphingomonadales; Sphingomonadaceae
Description: partial 16S ribosomal RNA
Rfam family: Bacterial small subunit ribosomal RNA
Source: RNAcentral